Molecule: ribosomal RNA, 572 nt
Filed under: uncultured bacterium
Lineage: Bacteria
Description: bacterial SSU rRNA
Rfam family: Bacterial small subunit ribosomal RNA
Source: RNAcentral
GCAAGUCGAGCGGCAGCGGGAAAGUAGCUUGCUACUUUUGCCGGCGAGCGGCGGACGGGUGAGUAAUGCCUGGGGAUCUGCCCAGUCGAGGGGGAUAACAGUUGGAAACGACUGCUAAUACCGCAUACGCCCUACGGGGGAAAGGAGGGGACCUUAGGGCCUUUCGCGAUUGGAUGAACCCAGGUGGGAUUAGCUAGUUGGUGGGGUAAUGGCUCACCAAGGCGACGAUCCCUAGCUGGUCUGAGAGGAUGACCAGCCACACUGGAACUGAGACACGGUCCAGACUCCUACGGGAGGCAGCAGUGGGGAAUAUUGCACAAUGGGGGAAACCCUGAUGCAGCCAUGCCGCGUGUGUGAAGAAGGCCUUCGGGUUGUAAAGCACUUUCAGCGAGGAGGAAAGGUUGGCGCCUAAUACGUGUCAACUGUGACGUUACUCGCAGAAGAAGCACCGGCUAACUCCGUGCCAGCAGCCGCGGUAAUACGGAGGGUGCAAGCGUUAAUCGGAAUUACUGGGCGUAAAGCGCACGCAGGCGGUUGGAUAAGUUAGAUGUGAAAGCCCCGGGCUCAACCUG